GGCUUGGUCGGGCGGUCCGCCUCACGGUGUGUACUGUCUGACUGAGUCUUACCUCUUGGUGAGCCGGCGUGCGCUUUAUUGUGUGCGUCGGGGAACCAGGACUUUUACCUUGAGAAAAUUAGAGUGUUUAAAGCAGGCUAACGCUUGAAUACAUUAGCAUGGAAUAAUGAAAUAGGACGAUCGAUCCUAUUUUGUUGGUUUCUAGGAUCACCGUA
This 215-nucleotide ribosomal RNA is filed under the name uncultured fungus. Its description in RNAcentral is "partial small subunit ribosomal RNA". The stretch from base 91 to 215 matches the Rfam family "Eukaryotic small subunit ribosomal RNA", at positions 738 to 864 of the family's 1831-position model. Lineage: Eukaryota; Fungi. The record is from RNAcentral.